UACGUAGGGUGCGAGCGUUAAUCGGAAUUACUGGGCGUAAAGCGUGCGCAGGCGGUUUUGUAAGCCAGAUGUGAAAUCCCCGGGCUUAACCUGGGAAUGGCAUUUGGGACUGCAAGGCUGGAGUUUGGCAGAGGAGACUGGAAUUCCUGGUGUAGCAGUGAAAUGCGUAGAUAUCAGGAGGAAUACCGAUGGCGGAGGCAGGUCUCUGGGCUAUAACUGACGCUCAUGCACGAAAGCGUGGGGAGCAAACAGG
Molecule: ribosomal RNA, 253 nt
Filed under: uncultured bacterium
Lineage: Bacteria
Description: partial 16S ribosomal RNA
Rfam family: Bacterial small subunit ribosomal RNA
Source: RNAcentral